Molecule: ribosomal RNA, 501 nt
Filed under: uncultured bacterium
Lineage: Bacteria
Description: bacterial SSU rRNA
Rfam family: Bacterial small subunit ribosomal RNA
Source: RNAcentral
GAUGAACGCUGGCGGCAUGCCUAACACAUGCAAGUCGAACGAUACCAGGGAGCUUGCUCUCUGGGAAAGUGGCGCACGGGUGCGUAACGCGUAUGCAACCUACCUUUAUCAGGGGGAUAGCCUCUCGAAAGAGAGAUUAACACCGCAUAAAAUCACAACCUGGCAUCAGGAAAUGAUCAAAUAUUUAUAGGAUAAAGAUGGGCAUGCGUGUCAUUAGCUAGUUGGUGAGGUAACGGCUCACCAAGGCGACGAUGACUAGGGGAUCUGAGAGGAUGACCCCCCACACUGGUACUGAGACACGGACCAGACUCCUACGGGAGGCAGCAGUAAGGAAUAUUGGUCAAUGGAGGCAACUCUGAACCAGCCAUGCCGCGUGCAGGAAGACGGCCCUAUGGGUUGUAAACUGCUUUUAUACGGGAAUAAACCCCGGUUCGUGAACCGGGUUGAAUGUACUGUAAGAAUAAGGAUCGGCUAACUCCGUGCCAGCCGCCGCAGUAAUAC